UACGUAGGUGGCAAGCGUUAUCCGGAAUUAUUGGGCGUAAAGCGUGCGCAGGCGGUUCGUUGUGUCCGAUGUGAAAGCCCCGAGCUCAACUUGGGAAUGGCAUUGGAAACUGGCGGGCUGGAGUGUGGCAGAGGGGGGUGGAAUUCCACGUGUAGCAGUGAAAUGCGUAGAGAUGUGGAGGAACACCGAUGGCGAAGGCAGCCCCCUGGGCCAACACUGACGCUCAGGCACGAAAGCGUGGGGAGCAAACAGG
RNAcentral lists this ribosomal RNA (253 nucleotides) under uncultured bacterium. RNAcentral's name for it is "partial 16S ribosomal RNA". It matches the Rfam family "Bacterial small subunit ribosomal RNA", at positions 524 to 776 of the family's 1533-position model. The record is from RNAcentral.